Vicia villosa (hairy vetch) is the source of this 287-nucleotide long non-coding RNA. RefSeq lists it as uncharacterized. NCBI's taxonomy places the organism in Eukaryota, Viridiplantae, Streptophyta, Magnoliopsida, Fabales, Fabaceae. The record is from RefSeq and is a predicted model, not a curated record. The transcript has 3 exons.
GCUAUUGGUUGGGUUUUGUCGUCGCCAUGGUGUAUGCUUCAGUUGCGCGGUUCGUUGAAGGUGCGGUUGUUACAGGUUUGUGUAUGUUGAAGAAGGAGUUUAUGGAGAGUUUUUGUAUGGUUGCGUUCUUGUUGAGUUUUGUACAAGGAUUUGAGGGAAUGAGUUGGAGUUGAAGGACUAAUUUUGUAUAUUCUACAGGUUGAAUUUGGUGCAAUUCUUGUUGGCUAUAAAAACAGGGUGCAGCCAAUGCUAAUAUUAGGAGGAUGAUUGUGCUGCUGUUAUGUAUG